CCCUUAGAUGUUCUGGGCUGCACGCGCGCUACACUGAAGCGUUCAACGAGUAUUCACCUUGCCCGGGAGGGUUGGGUAAUCUUUUGAAAACGCUUCGUGAUGGGGAUAGAUUAUUGCAAUUAUUAAUCUUCAACGAGGAAUUCCUAGUAAGCGCGAGUCAUCAGCUCGUGCUGAUUACGUCCCUGCCCUUUGUACACACCGCCCGUCGCUACUCCCGAUUGGACGUUUUAGUGAGGAUUUUGGACUGAGCCAAUGGUGGUUCACACCACUGUUGUGCAUGGAAAGAUCUCCAAACUUGAGCGUUUAGAGGAAGUAAAAGUCGUAACA
This 327-nucleotide ribosomal RNA is filed under the name uncultured eukaryote. RNAcentral's name for it is "partial 18S ribosomal RNA". It matches the Rfam family "Eukaryotic small subunit ribosomal RNA", at positions 1470 to 1796 of the family's 1831-position model. The record is from RNAcentral.